AAUCAACGCUGGCGGCGUGCCUCAGACAUGCAAGUCGAACGCGAAAUUUCCCUUCGGGGAGAAAGUAGAGUGGCGCACGGGUGAGUAACACGUAGGUAAUUUGCCUUUGGGUGGGGAAUAACUCAGGGAAACUUGAGCUAAUACCGCAUAAUGCAGCGGCUCGACAUCGAGACAGUUGUUAAAGCGGGGGAUCGCAAGACCUCGCGCCUAAAGAGAAGCCUGCGGCAGAUUAGCUAGUUGGUAAGGUAAUGGCUUACCAAGGCGACGAUCUGUAACCGGCCUGAGAGGGCGGUCGGUCACACUGACACUGACAUACGGGUCAGACUCCUACGGGAGGCAGCAGUCGGGAAUUUUGGGCAAUGGGCGAAAGCCUGACCCAGCAACGCCGCGUGAAGGAUGAAAUUUUUCGGAAUGUAAACUUCGCAAGAACAGGAAAGAAUAAGUAGAAGCGAAUACCUUCUAUGAUGACGGUACUGUUUGUAAGCUCCGGCUAACUCCGUGCCAGCA
This 507-nucleotide ribosomal RNA is filed under the name uncultured bacterium. RNAcentral describes it as "bacterial SSU rRNA". It matches the Rfam family "Bacterial small subunit ribosomal RNA", at positions 32 to 513 of the family's 1533-position model. The record is from RNAcentral.